Molecule: ribosomal RNA, 253 nt
Filed under: uncultured bacterium
Lineage: Bacteria
Description: partial 16S ribosomal RNA
Rfam family: Bacterial small subunit ribosomal RNA
Source: RNAcentral
UACAGAGGGGGCAAGCGUUGUUCGGAAUUACUGGGCGUAAAGGGCGCGUAGGCGGCCUGUUAAGUCGAACGUGAAAUCCCCGGGCUCAACCCGGGAACUGCGUCCGAUACUGGCAGGCUCGAAUCCGGGAGAGGGAUGCGGAAUUCCAGGUGUAGCGGUGAAAUGCGUAGAUAUCUGGAGGAACACCGGUGGCGAAGGCGGCAUCCUGGACCGGCAUUGACGCUGAGGCGCGAAAGCCAGGGGAGCAAACGGG